RNAcentral lists this ribosomal RNA (468 nucleotides) under uncultured bacterium. RNAcentral describes it as "partial 16S ribosomal RNA". It matches the Rfam family "Bacterial small subunit ribosomal RNA", at positions 28 to 507 of the family's 1533-position model. The record is from RNAcentral.
GACGAACGCUGGCGGCGUGCUUAACACAUGCAAGUCGAACGGAAAGGCCCUGCUUUUGUGGGGUGCUCGAGUGGCGAACGGGUGAGUAACACGUGAGUAACCUGCCCUUGACUUUGGGAUAACUUCAGGAAACUGGGGCUAAUACCGGAUAGGAGCGCCUGCUGCAUGGGGGGGGUUGGAAAGUUUCGGCGGUUGGGGAUGGACUCGCGGCUUAUCAGCUUGUUGGUGGGGUAGUGGCUUACCAAGGCUUUGACGGGUAGCCGGCCUGAGAGGGUGACCGGCCACAUUGGGCCUGAGAUACGGCCCAGACUCCUACGGGAGGCAGCAGUGGGGAUUAUUGCACAAUGGGCGGAAGCCUGAUGCAGCAACGCCGCGUGCGGGAUGACGGCCUUCGGGUUGUAAACCGCUUUCGCCUGUGACGAAGCGUGAGUGACGGUAAUGGGUAAAGAAGCACCGGCUAACUACGUG